CUACGGGAGGCAGCAGUGGGGAAUCUUAGACAAUGGGGGCAACCCUGAUCUAGCCAUGCCGCGUGAGUGAUGAAGGCCCUAGGGUUGUAAAGCUCUUUCGCCAGGGAUGAUAAUGACAGUACCUGGUAAAGAAACCCCGGCUAACUCCGUGCCAGCAGCCGCGGUAAUACGGAGGGAGUUAGCGUUGUUCGGAAUUACUGGGCGUAAAGCGCACGUAGGCGGAUUAGUCAGUCAGAGGUGAAAUCCCAGGGCUCAACCCUGGAACUGCCUUUGAUACUGCUAGUCUUGAGUUCGAGAGAGGUGAGUGGAAUUCCGAGUGUAGAGGUGAAAUUCGUAGAUAUUCGGAGGAACACCAGUGGCGAAGGCGGCUCACUGGCUCGAUACUGACGCUGAGGUGCGAAAGUGUGGGGAGCAAACAGGAUUAGAUACCCUGGUAGUCCACACCGUAAACGAUGAAUGCCAGACGUCGGGCAGUAUACUGUUCGGUGUCACACCUAACGGAUUAAGCAUUCCGCCUGGGGAGUACGGUCGCAAGAUUAAAACUCAAAGGA
This 551-nucleotide ribosomal RNA is filed under the name Rhodobacteraceae bacterium enrichment culture DGGE band M81B10. Its description in RNAcentral is "bacterial SSU rRNA". It matches the Rfam family "Bacterial small subunit ribosomal RNA", at positions 339 to 908 of the family's 1533-position model. Lineage: Bacteria; Pseudomonadati; Pseudomonadota; Alphaproteobacteria; Rhodobacterales; Paracoccaceae. The record is from RNAcentral.